This 504-nucleotide ribosomal RNA is filed under the name uncultured bacterium. Its description in RNAcentral is "partial 16S ribosomal RNA". It matches the Rfam family "Bacterial small subunit ribosomal RNA", at positions 30 to 523 of the family's 1533-position model. The record is from RNAcentral.
AUUGAACGCUGGCGGCAGGCCUAACACAUGCAAGUCGAACGGUAGCACAGAGAGCUUGCUCUCGGGUGACGAGUGGCGGACGGGUGAGUAAUGUCUGGGAAACUGCCCGAUGGAGGGGGAUAACUACUGGAAACGGUAGCUAGUACCGCAUAACGUCGCAAGACCAAAGAGGGGGACCUUCGGGCCUCUUGCACUCAGAUGUGCCCAGAUGGGAUUAGCUAGUAGGUGGGGUAACGGCUCACCUAGGCGACGAUCCCUAGCUGGUCUGAGAGGAUGACCAGCCACACUGGAACUGAGACACGGUCCAGACUCCUACGGGAGGCAGCAGUGGGGAAUAUUGCACAAUGGGCGCAAGCCUGAUGCAGCCAUGCCGCGUGUAUGAAGAAGGCCUUCGGGUUGUAAAGUACUUUCAGCGGGGAGGAAGGCGAUAAGGUUAAUAACCUUGUCGAUUGACGUUACCCGCAGAAGAAGCACCGGCUAACUCCGUGCCAGCCGCCGCCGUAA